AUAGGACACCCAGUUAAAUUUGAAUUUCAGAUAAAUCAUGGAAUUUUAAAGCUCAUUUGGGACAUAGUUUCCCAUGUUUACUGAUGGUUUAGCCAAAAUUUGAAUUUAAUUUGGUGUCCUGUAUGUUAUCUUACAAUCUUAUUUGUUGAUUUGUUCAAAUUUUCUAGGAAACAUAAUUCUAAAACUAAGAAAGGGGCCACAGUAGGAACCCAUUCUGACAUGAUGAAUUAUUACAUAUAGCGAGAUAUACUGAAGGCUAGAGAAUAUCCAUCAAAAGUAGCAUAUUCACAGAGUAAAACACAAUUUGGGAUGACUUAAUCCCUAUCCCAUGGUCAUAAAAGUGUUCAUCAAUUGAGUAUCUAUGAUACUCAAGUAUCUUUGAAGUCGGGUUGGCCACUCCUAUGCCUGAGAGAGAAAUGCAGCGAUGGAUGUGAUGCAGUGAUUUAGGUACAAAGAGAAGAGGCCUAAAACAGAAACGUAAAGACCCCUGCAUGUAAGGGGUGGCAGAAGAAGACUACUCUAGAAAGAGACUGUGAAAGGGCAUCAAGGGGAGGAAGACAGGAAGAAGCAUUCUCUACUGAACACUCCCCAGUGAAAUAAGCCACAGUGCUUGAGAAGAUGGCUACUUCUAAGACAAGGGAGGUAAGGAAAGAUUCAAGAUAAGCUUGAAAUAUUGGUGGUACUGGAGAUAGGUACUAAAAAGAUGAUGUAGAAAUGUCAUAAGGAUCCAGGAGCCAACAUGAAGGGACUCCCAUAAACCCAGACAAUACUAAUAUACUAGAAUUCAUUAAAUAAAAGUUGAUUCCACGAGUUUCUACUGACAAUAAUAGAAGAUAGAUAGAUAGAUAGAGGAGAAGGGAAACUUGUUCCUUACAGCGAGGUGCCGAUUAAUAAAUAUAGAAAGAAUGAUGGAAUCAUUAUUGUGCAACCAUAAUUGUAAAAACUGAUUGAAGAAAGAAUCAUGGGUGAGUGUAGAGGUUAAAUGAGGUUCAGUCUAUUUACAUAAUAUCAAGUAUCUCCCCACAAACUACUAUUACAGUUCAUCUUCCUUAUUCACAAAUUCCACAUUUGUGAAUUCACCUGCUCCUUAAAGGAGGUUACCCCAAGUUCAACACUCACAGCAUUUUCUCAGUCAUUCAUGGAUAUGCACCAAAGGGUAAAAAGUCUGAAGUCCCCAAUGUACACAUUCUCAUCUGAGGUUGAACAAGGCAAUACUCUGCCGUCUUAUUUCAGCUGUCGUUCUGUAAACAAGAGUCUUUUUCAAGGUAUAUUUAUUGUCAAGUUUUUGUAUUUUUGUGCUUUUUAUUGGUUGUUUUGCUGUUUUUAAAAUUUUUUUUUCAAGUUUAUUUAUCUUGUGAAAGGAGAAAGAAAACACACAUGCAAGCAGGGGGAGAGGCAAGAGAGAGAGGAGGAUGAGAAUUCCAAGCAGACUUCGUGCACUGUCAGCACAGAACCCGCAAACUGGGGCUCGAUCCAGCAAACUGUGGGGUCAUGACCUGAGCUGAAAUCAAGAGUUGGAUGCUUAACCAAGUGAGCUGGUUAUUUUGCUGUUUACCUUGUCUCCAAAGUGAAAGUCUUAAGGAACAAUUUCAAGACACACAGUUUUUAAAAGGAUGGGAAGGAGGCUCAGACCAGUGUGCUGUCAGAGGAGUCUGGGGAAGAAGAAAUCGUCCGUAGUGUCAUAUGCUACAGAGGGUGCCAGGACAGGAAUCAUGCGUUCCAAAGAGAAGAAAAGUAUCACAUUUAAUUUAUUUUUUGGCCACACACCUAAUUGAGGAGGCGAGCCCUUAGGUGGGAGUCACAGUGAGCUGCCCUGAGUUUUUCCCAAGCCUAACAAAAGAAAGAAGGACCGGCCACCGCUUGUGCCUGCCAACCGUGCAUUGUUCAAGGAAUCAAAAUAAAGAGGCAAAGGGGUCAAGGAGCAAACGGUGUUCAGAUUUCCUAACCGCUGAAGUGUAAAUCACAACUGGGAGACUAUUGAGGCGAUUUGGGCCAAACUGCAGAGAAACAAGAGAAAAGGGUAAUCAUAUCUUAACCCAGUCAAUCCGAAAUUUCCUGGUCAGCAAUAGUAAGGAAACCUGCCUGACAGAUCCCUCCUGUCCCACCCCCCCAGAAGAUGAGGUAAGCCUCUCUUUCUUUGCCCCUGCCCCCUUCUGCUUAUUAAAUUCUUUCAUUUUGUACAGCUCUUUGGAUCUCCUCUCAAUUUGCUAGAUGGGAUGCUCCCCAAUUCAUGAAUUGUUGAAGAAAGCCAAUUUGACUUUCAAGUUUACUCAGUUAAAUUAUGUUUUUUUUAAUGCUAGUAUAGACCAAGAAUAUUAGAUUAACCAACUGAAAGCUAUUUUAUUAUCAGUAAGUGUUUCCAGACCUGGAGUUUGGGAGAUUUAGGUGGAACCAUUUAAGAACACAUUUGAAGCAUGGAAAUAUUAUUGUUGUUGUUAUUGCUGUCCUUGUUUAUUGUUCACUAAGAGAAUUUAUGAAUGCUAAAAAUCAAAACAGUGUUUAUUUGAAUAGAUGGUUGCUAGAGGAAUAUUCUGAAUUCAAUAGCACACAAUUCUUAGAAAUCUCCCCUGGCAUUGACCAUGGUCAGUGAUUAGUACUUAGUUUAAACUCCAAAUCUAUAGUGUUAAAAAUCUAUAUCUAGUGUUUAAAUAUAGCAUUUAAAAUCUCUACAUAAGAAAAAUGUUGUAGAAGAUUGAAUACUUUAAUCAAAUACUUUAUAGAAUUGUGAAUUAAAUAAAGCAUAUAAAUUAUAAAAUCAAAAAAUAAGGACCCAUAAUUCUAUCCUCCAGCCCCCUUCCUCCAAAAAAAAAAAUUUAAAAAUUAAAAAAAAA
Molecule: long non-coding RNA, 2831 nt
Organism: Neofelis nebulosa (Clouded leopard)
Lineage: Eukaryota; Metazoa; Chordata; Mammalia; Carnivora; Felidae
Exons: 6
Source: RefSeq, a predicted model, not a curated record